AGCAGCACGGGAGCGACCCGUUGGCUGGCAGACAAUCCAGUCCCAGCACACGGCAAGCGUGAUGGGGUUGGCUUUGUGCUUAUCCCCGUCUUCCAAUAACGGGAAAGACUUAAUGCAUCGCACCGAAAUACAUAAUGCCUCGUCAACGUUAUGGAACGGCAACUGCAUCGCUCGGGGAGAAUGCUGUUCUCCUCGCGGUUCCGUCGCCCCA
RNAcentral lists this non-coding RNA (211 nucleotides) under Synechococcus sp. CC9605. Its description in RNAcentral is "Cyano-2 RNA". It matches the Rfam family "Cyano-2 RNA". Lineage: Bacteria; Bacillati; Cyanobacteriota; Cyanophyceae; Synechococcales; Synechococcaceae. The record is from Rfam by way of RNAcentral.